UCGCGGCCACGGCCGAUGACGGUGGUCUCAAGAUGGGCACACACGCCGGCCGCGGGAAGGGGACGCAGUGCAAGAACAUGAAGCAAAAUCAGCGCAAGAAGCUCAACGGUAGCUCCCUCAUCAAGGCUGAAUGUGCUUCUUCAGCGACGACCUGAAGGGAGCAACAACAACUGGAUGGCCAGCACUUGUUCAGGGAGGAUGGCGAGUAAGUCUGGGAGCUACUACACAUUAUCAGCCACUGGUUUCUAUUGUUGUGUUGUAAUGCAGUAUGAGAGUUGACUCUUUUUGCAUUUGAGCUAGCUAGAUAAGAGCAGAGCUAAUUUCCAUGUUUUGGUAGCAAGUGACAAUGGCAACUUUCCAUGUUUGAAUGCACAAGAUCGCUUUAUUUUCAGUCAA
This is a long non-coding RNA of Lolium rigidum, 396 nucleotides long. RefSeq lists it as uncharacterized. The record is from RefSeq and is a predicted model, not a curated record. The transcript has 2 exons. NCBI's taxonomy places the organism in Eukaryota, Viridiplantae, Streptophyta, Magnoliopsida, Poales, Poaceae.